CUUGAACUAAAUAAGAGGUCCAGCCUGCCCAGUGAAAUUAUUCAACGGCCGCGGUAUCCUAACCGUGCGAAGGUAGCGUAAUCACUUGUUCUUUAAAUAAGGACUAGUAUGAAUGGCACCACGAGGGUUCUACUGUCUCCUUUUUAAAAUCAGUGAAACUAAUCUUCCCGUGAAGAAGCGGGAAUUUUUUUAUAAGACGAGAAGACCCUAUGGAGCUUUAAACGAAUGACAUUUGCUUAAUCUAAUAUUUUAUUUUCAAGAAAUAUAGCAUUAUGAUCCUUAGUUUUCGAUUGGGGUGAUCACGGAGAAAAAUUUAACCUCCACGCCGAAAGGGUUUAUUCCCUAAGCAAAAAGCUACAGCUUUAAGCACUAAAAAAUUAACGUAGUUUGACCCAAUAUUUUGAUCAACGAAC
This 413-nucleotide ribosomal RNA is filed under the name Boana semilineata group sp. ABGD cluster 96. RNAcentral describes it as "partial large subunit ribosomal RNA". It matches the Rfam family "Archaeal large subunit ribosomal RNA", at positions 1927 to 2490 of the family's 2987-position model. The record is from RNAcentral. Lineage: Eukaryota; Metazoa; Chordata; Amphibia; Anura; Hylidae.